Molecule: ribosomal RNA, 493 nt
Filed under: uncultured bacterium
Lineage: Bacteria
Description: bacterial SSU rRNA
Rfam family: Bacterial small subunit ribosomal RNA
Source: RNAcentral
AUUGAACGCUGGCGGCAGGCCUAACACAUGCAAGUCGAGCGAGAAAGGUCUUCGGACUGAGUACAGCGGCGGACGGGUGAGUAAUGCGCAGGAAUCUACCUGGUAGUGGGGGAUAACUCGGGGAAACUCGAACUAAUACCGCAUACGCCCUACGGGGAAAGCGGGGACCGUUCGGGCCUCGCGCUAUCAGAUGAGCCUGCGUAGGAUUAGCUUGUUGGUGAGGUAAAGGCUCACCAAGGCGACGAUCCUUAGCUGGUCUGAGAGGAUGAUCAGCCACACUGGAACUGAGACACGGUCCAGACUCCUACGGGAGGCAGCAGUGGGGAAUAUUGCGCAAUGGGCGAAAGCCUGACGCAGCCAUGCCGCGUGUGUGAAGAAGGCCCUUGGGUUGUAAAGCACUUUCAAUCGGGAGAAAGGUUGCGUGUUAAUAGCACGUAGCUGUGACGUUACCUUUAGAAGAAGCACCGGCUAACUCCGUGCCAGCAGCCGACGG